Molecule: ribosomal RNA, 253 nt
Filed under: uncultured bacterium
Lineage: Bacteria
Description: partial 16S ribosomal RNA
Rfam family: Bacterial small subunit ribosomal RNA
Source: RNAcentral
GACGGGGGGGGCAAGCGUUGUUCGGAAUUACUGGGCGUAAAGGGCUCGUAGGUGGCCAACUAAGUCAGACGUGAAAUCCCUCGGCUUAACCGGGGAACUGCGUCUGAUACUGGAUGGCUUGGAUUCGGGAGAGGAAUGCGGAAUUCCAGGUGUAGCGGUGAAAUGCGUAGAUAUCUGGAGGAACACCGGUGGCGAAGGCGGCAUUCUGGACCGACAUUGACGCUGAGGAGCGAAAGCCAGGGGAGCAAACGGG